RNAcentral lists this ribosomal RNA (413 nucleotides) under uncultured prokaryote. Its description in RNAcentral is "partial 16S ribosomal RNA". The record is from RNAcentral.
CCCUAUGGGGCGCACCAGGGAUAAGGAUAAAGUGGGAAAAUCUGAAAACUACUGGUACUAUGUUUAAUUUGAAAAGUACAUUGAUUACAUGAGAGGCUGGGUUUACGGCGAAUUUGUGAAGAUGAAAUAAUAAUGUCAGAUGAAAUAUAUUACAGUAUUCUGAAAGAUGCCGGCACGGAAACUGUUAACGAUAUUAUAUCCCUGUACAAAGCAGGCGGAUGGUGGGACAGUGAAUCAAAACCUGAAAUAAUCCCCUCCAUGAUAAAAGGUACUUUCAUUUUUCUUGCGGCACUGGAUGAGAAUGGUAAAAUGAUCGGGAUGGGACGUGCGAUCAGUGACGGAGUAAGCGAUGCAUAUAUUCAGGAUGUUGUAGUGCUCAAUGAUCUGCGCGGGAAAGGAAGUGGCGGGAGGGC